ACCAGACUCCUACGGGAGGCAGCAGUGAGGAAUAUUGGUCAGUGGGCGCGAGCCUGAACCAGCCAAGUCGCGUGAGGGAGGACGGCCCUACGGGUUGUAAACCUCUUUUGCCGGGGAGCAACGGGCGUCACGUGUGGCGCCACUGAGAGUACCCGGAGAAAAAGCAUCGGCUAACUCCGUGCCAGCAGCCGCGGUAAUACGGAGGAUGCGAGCGUUAUCCGGAUUUAUUGGGUUUAAAGGGUGCGUAGGCGGUUCGUUAAGGCGGGGGACAAAUGGGGGGCCCCCCCCCCUCCCCGCCAUUGAAACUGGCGUUCUUGAGUGGAAGAGAAGUAUGCGGAAUGCGUGGUGUAGCGGUGAAAUGCAUAGAUAUCACGCAGAACCCCGAUUGCGAAGGCAGCAUGCCGGCUUCCGACUGACGCUGAAGCACGAAAGCGUGGGGAUCGAACAGGAUUAGAUACCCCAGUACG
RNAcentral lists this ribosomal RNA (467 nucleotides) under uncultured bacterium. RNAcentral's name for it is "partial 16S ribosomal RNA". It matches the Rfam family "Bacterial small subunit ribosomal RNA", at positions 330 to 793 of the family's 1533-position model. The record is from RNAcentral.